Molecule: ribosomal RNA, 395 nt
Filed under: uncultured bacterium
Lineage: Bacteria
Description: partial 16S ribosomal RNA
Rfam family: Bacterial small subunit ribosomal RNA
Source: RNAcentral
AUACGUCGGGGGCAAGCGUUAAUCGGAAUUACUGGGCGUAAAGCGUGCGCAGGCGGUUUUUUGAGACAGGGGUGAAAUCCCCCGGGUCAACCUGGGGACUGCCCUGGUGGCAGGAAGGCUGGGGAGGGGCAGAGGGGGGUGGAAUUUCGGGUGUAGCAGUGAAAUGCGUAGAUAUGCGGAGGAACACCGAUGGCGAAGGCAAUCCCCUGGGCCUGCACUGACGCUCAUGCACGAAAGCGUGGGGAGCAAACAGGAUUAGAUACCCUGGUAGUCCACGCCCUAAACGAUGUCAACUGGUUGUUGGGGAUUUAUUUUCUCAGUAACGAAGCUAACGCGUGAAGUUGACCGCCUGGGGAGUACGGCCGCAAGGUUAAAACUCAAAUGAAUUGGCGGGG